UACGUAGGGGGCCAGCGUUGCUCGGAAUUACUGGGCGUAAAGGGUCCGUAGGCGGUGUGGCAAGUCGGAAGUGAAAUCUCUGGGCUUAACCCAGAGGCUGCUUUCGAAACUGCCGUGCUAGAGUGUGAGAGAGGCGAGUGGAAUUACGGGUGUAGCGGUGAAAUGCGUAGAUAUCCGUAGGAACAUCCGAGGCGAAAGCGGCUCGCUGGAUCACAACUGACGCUGAGGGACGAAAGCUAGGGGAGCAAACAGG
This 253-nucleotide ribosomal RNA is filed under the name uncultured bacterium. RNAcentral describes it as "partial 16S ribosomal RNA". It matches the Rfam family "Bacterial small subunit ribosomal RNA", at positions 524 to 776 of the family's 1533-position model. The record is from RNAcentral.